AAACAAAUCUUUACAAUAUUCGAAAAGAUGAAUACAUACGAAAAAACAACAAUUUUGAUAAGUAACUCGUAUAUAAAAGCGAAAUGGUCAAUGAUAGAACAAGAACCAAAUAGUAUAAUCACUAAGCUAUUAAUUUAUUUGACCAAAACAUAUUUUAGGAGAUCGGAAGAAAGAACAGAGUUCAGAGGUGGCUUCUAGAGGCGGCCCAGACUAGAGCGUGCCAUGUUGAGCUUUGAUAAUCAUUAUCGUGUCAUGCAAAAAUCCCAAAUGGUGAGACAAAACUGUAUUACAAGUAGUUACAACAACAACAACCCAAAGAGGAACCAAAACCUAAAGACUAUUAGCUUCAAAGGAGGGGAAAAAAAAACUUAAAAGAAUAGGUACCAUAUGUUAUUUUUUAAUUACAACUAAAUAUACAUUGAAUAGAUGUUUGAAUUAAUGUUUUUUUUUAAAAAAAAAUUGUUCAGUUUAACCACGUUUGCAAAUAAUUACUUUAGAAAAGUAGUAUUUUUUUGGUCCAGAUAUUUCCAUGACAGAUACAUAGUCUUGUUAAGAUAUGCUCGUCAAUGACAAAA
This 575-nucleotide long non-coding RNA is filed under the name Arabidopsis lyrata. Its description in RNAcentral is "long non-coding RNA (ALYR_LNC000104)". The record is from RNAcentral. Lineage: Eukaryota; Viridiplantae; Streptophyta; Magnoliopsida; Brassicales; Brassicaceae.